Molecule: small RNA, 29 nt
Filed under: Bombyx mori (domestic silkworm)
Lineage: Eukaryota; Metazoa; Arthropoda; Insecta; Lepidoptera; Bombycidae
Description: ovarian small RNA-36696
Source: RNAcentral
UUAGACUUCACAAUUUACAAUACUAUUGU